This 45-nucleotide non-coding RNA is filed under the name Schistosoma margrebowiei. The record is from RNAcentral. Lineage: Eukaryota; Metazoa; Platyhelminthes; Trematoda; Strigeidida; Schistosomatidae.
AUCCAGCUGACGAGUCCCGAAUGGGAUUUAACGCGCGUCCUAGAU